GCUGUGCACAGCAGUAUUGGCAAGAGGCUUUCCAAGCCACAGGACCGUCAGAGAGAGCUGGGUCUGCUGCCCAAGCCCCUGGAAGCUGUCUGAGUCCAGCUGCUACUUUAUUU
RNAcentral lists this long non-coding RNA (113 nucleotides) under Chinchilla lanigera (long-tailed chinchilla). Its description in RNAcentral is "lncRNA (ENSCLAG00000027821.1)". Lineage: Eukaryota; Metazoa; Chordata; Mammalia; Rodentia; Chinchillidae. The record is from RNAcentral.